AGUGAACGCUGGCGGUAGGCCUAACACAUGCCAGUCGAACGGCAGCACAGUAAGAGCUUGCUCUUACGGGUGGCGAGUGGCGGACGGGUGAGGAAUACAUCGGAAUCUACUUUUUCGUGGGGGAUAACGUAGGGAAACUUACGCUAAUACCGCAUACGGCCUACGGGUGAAAGCAGGGGAUCUUCGGACCUUGCGCGAUUGAAUGAGCCGAUGUCGGAUUAGCUAGUUGGCGGGGUAAAGGCCCACCAAGGCGACGAUCCGUAGCUGGUCUGAGAGGAUGAUCAGCCACACUGGAACUGAGACACGGUCCAGACUCCUACGGGAGGCAGCAGUGGGGAAUAUUGGACAAUGGGCGCAAGCCUGAUCCAGCCAUACCGCGUGGGUGAAGAAGGCCUUCGGGUUGUAAAGCCCUUUUGUUGGGAAAGAAAAGCAGCAGGUUAAUACCCCGCUGUUCUGACGGUACCCAAAGAAUAAGCGCCGGCUAACUUCGUG
RNAcentral lists this ribosomal RNA (492 nucleotides) under uncultured bacterium. RNAcentral's name for it is "partial 16S ribosomal RNA". It matches the Rfam family "Bacterial small subunit ribosomal RNA", at positions 29 to 507 of the family's 1533-position model. The record is from RNAcentral.